UACGGAGGGUGCGAGCGUUGUCCGGAAUCACUGGGCGUAAAGGGCGCGUAGGCGGCGCGGAUAGUCGGCGGUGAAAGCCCGGAGCUCAACUCCGGGUCGGCCGUCGAUACUUCCGGGCUUGAGCACUGUAGAGGCAGAUGGAAUUCCGGGUGUAGCGGUGGAAUGCGUAGAGAUCCGGAGGAACACCUGUGGCGAAAGCGGCUCACUGGACCACAACUGACGCUGAGGCGCGAAAGCUAGGGGAGCAAACAGG
RNAcentral lists this ribosomal RNA (253 nucleotides) under uncultured bacterium. RNAcentral describes it as "partial 16S ribosomal RNA". It matches the Rfam family "Bacterial small subunit ribosomal RNA", at positions 524 to 776 of the family's 1533-position model. The record is from RNAcentral.